AAGUAUGGAGAUACACUUAGGCGCUUUAAUGCUCGUGUUGAUGAAAAUGAAAAGUUGGAUCUCGACAUUGAUGGAUUGAGGGCAAAGAUCAAAAGUCUCUUUAAUUUUCCUCAUGAUUCUGAUCUUACACUUACUUAUGUUGAUGAAGAUGGUGACAUAGUAACUCUUGUUGAUGAUGAUGAUCUGUGUGAUGUAAUGAGGCAGCGUCUUAAGUUCUUGAGGAUUGAUGUGCACCUGAACAAUGACAAAUUUGGUAAAGCUUAUGCUAGAUCAAGUGGAAGUUCUACUCCCUUGAGAUCCCCGCGAAUCCAGCAUCCAUUACCUGACAUCGACAGU
This 336-nucleotide long non-coding RNA is filed under the name Citrus sinensis (sweet orange). Its description in RNAcentral is "long non-coding RNA (CSIN_LNC001910)". Lineage: Eukaryota; Viridiplantae; Streptophyta; Magnoliopsida; Sapindales; Rutaceae. The record is from RNAcentral.